AACGAACGCUGGCGGCAUGCCUAACACAUGCAAGUCGAACGAGACCUUCGGGUCUAGUGGCGCACGGGUGCGUAACGCGUGGGAACCUGCCCUUAGGUUCGGAAUAACUCCCCGAAAGGGGUGCUAAUACCGGAUAAUGUCUUCGGACCAAAGAUGUAUCGCCUUUGGAUGGGCCCGCGUUGGAUUAGCCAGUUGGUAGGGUAAAAGCCUACCAAGGCGACGAUGCAUAGCUGGUCUGAGAAGAUGACCAGCCACGCUGGGGAUGAGGCCCGGCCCAGACUCCUACGGGACGGAGCAGUGGGGAAUAUUGGACAAUGGGCGCAAGCCUGGUCCAGCCAUGCCGCGGGAGUGAUGAAGGCCUUAGGGUUGUGAAGCUCUUUUACCCGGGAUGAUAAUGACAGUACCGGGAGAAUAAGCUCCGGCUAACUCCGUG
RNAcentral lists this ribosomal RNA (433 nucleotides) under uncultured bacterium. RNAcentral describes it as "partial 16S ribosomal RNA". It matches the Rfam family "Bacterial small subunit ribosomal RNA", at positions 29 to 507 of the family's 1533-position model. The record is from RNAcentral.